This 337-nucleotide ribosomal RNA is filed under the name uncultured soil bacterium. RNAcentral describes it as "bacterial SSU rRNA". It matches the Rfam family "Bacterial small subunit ribosomal RNA", at positions 26 to 372 of the family's 1533-position model. The record is from RNAcentral.
AGGACGAACGCUGGCGGCGUGCCUAAACAAUGCAAGUCGAACGGAGUAGCAAUACUCAGUGGCGAACGGCGGAGUAAUGCAUAAGCAACGUGCCCUGAAGACUGGGAUAGCCCGAGGAAACUCGGAGUAAUACCGGAUGUGGCCACCCUUAGGAUCUAGGGGUGAUUAAAUGGUUUUUUCGCUUUAGGAGCGGUCUUAUGGCCUAUCAGCUAGUUGGUGAGGUAACGGUCUUACCAGGCGACGACGGGUAACGGUCUGAGAGGAUGACUCCGUCGAGUGGGACUGAGACCACGGCCCACACACCGUACGGGGUGCAGCAGGUUGGAAUCUUGACAAC